GCGACAUUAUCAAAUGGAACAGUAUUCUGCGCCGCUCUGUGAUGUUGUCAACAUGGUACAUCGUCCAGAAACAUACAAUAGCUAUUUUCCAUUGAAUUUAUGUUUGGAUUUUUUAAAUAGUUUUCAUUGGGAAGGCACUUUUGCAUGUGAAAACACCGAAUCCUGCUCAUUACUACACGUGCUUAAUUACGUCACGUUUGUUUAUGAGCCGAUUUCUCCAUCAGACAGAGUGUGGCACCAAGUUCGCGCCCUGCAAGCAACCUGGUUUCGAACUCAAUAGAGUCAACUUUCAGCCGGUGCAAAACACGCUUACAAUGGCGCCCGGGCAAGAUUCAUCGAAUCCCCUCAAUGUUUAGAGGUUGGCUCCACCGGCCUUCGCUCUGAUUGGAGAAGCUGUCUCUCCCAGACAGAGGGGGACCUUGAGUUACCGCAGACUGCCGAGUAAGCACCGAGCAGUCUGACUGUACACUACUGCAGAUGUAAUGGGGGGCCUGGCCCCGAGCCAACAGCUAGCUAGUUAGUUAAAGACGGUGGCAGUUGGGUCAACGCAGCCGUGUAUGGGGUUCUGUCCCCGCAAGGGUGCUUGCCGUUUUUACUAACUACACGUAUGCAACAUUGUGCCAGUAAAAUUGAAACUUCAUCAGCGCCAGCUAGCCGCCCCACCGCUAGCUGGCUAGCGAACUAAUGGAAAUGACUUUAGUAUAACGGGGCUUCAAUCUUCCCACACUUGCCCUGAUGCCAGACUGACUAUGCAGUAGAAAUGCGGCUCUUGCAGAUAAUCAAGGUAAAAUUUGAUGUUGGCCUGUUACAAUUAACAUAUCUCAACCUAACCAUAGAUAGGAUUAUUAAAAUCAACAUAUUGUCAAAUGUAGCUCUAGGCUAUUGCUUUGACGUGUUAUUAUAUUGUUUUAUCAUAAUUUGCUCAAUAUGUAUUGUCUGUGUAUUCAAGACUAUAGGGGAACAGUAUUGCUAUUGGCAAUAUAAUCUGCAUUUUAAACAAUCCAUGGCAAGUAUUAUGAUCCAUGGUAAGUAUCAUAUCCUAAACUAACCAAUGGUGGAAGGAACCUAUAACCAAAUCAGAACAUCACACUAAACCAGCACCAAUCAGAUGCUGUAAUGAUACAAGCAUGCCUUCCCUUGUCCAAUCAGAGUGAUAUACCGGUAUUUAUGACCCAAUCACAGCUUUAGCUGGUACAGUAUCAUCACUACUGCUCAGCAUUGAGCAGGCCUCUGACCAGUUAUAUAAGUCCCUGGCUCCGACGCAGCAGCACUGUCUAUGCUAGCUCAAGGCUGCCUGUGGGUUCAGUGAGUUCGAGACAGCCUCAAUGCAGUGGACUGCCGCUGGGGGAAAAAUGUGACCUCGUUUGACUGGUGUUGCCUGGAAGCGCUCCAACUGCAGUCUGGGAAGUGGAAAGGACAGUCUAUGUUUUAAACAGGUGGCCUUCCCUACUGCCUCUACUUUACUGUACUGUAAAUAUAACUGCCUCUACUGUACUGUAAAUAUAACAUGUACAUUUAAACUACUAAGUCAUGUUAAACUACUAAGUCAUGUUAAACUACUAAGUCAUGUUAAACUACUAAGUUGCGGUAAAGAAGGAAGGAGUUAGGAGGGCAGAUUCUCUCCAGGAGUAUUGAGUUCAAGUUAUGUGAAAAUUCUAGGAAGGGCUAGUUCGGUUGUUUUUACGUUACAUUUUUCUCCGACCUAGAAAAUGAUUUUCCAAUGUUUGUGUGACAUCCUGCAUUCUAGUUCAAUAUUGCAAGAGCUGAGUCGAACUGUUUCAUCAUAAAGAUCCCCUUGAGUCUGUUUUGACCAUUUGGAUUCAGAACAUGGAUUGCCCAGGAGUAGCCCUAACAGUUAUAGUCUACUUUAUAAUAUGAUGCUAGCUUAAGCAACAGUAAAUGUGUUUUCUCAGAUCCCUUAUUGUCUUUUCUGUUUUUUGUAUGGGCUUGUCUCGUUGUGAGUUUUAGGGUAAUGAAUUGCAACUAGGGAUCACUGACUCACUGUUCAUGAAUCAAACAGUUAUAUUUCAUGCUUGUCUCUCUUGGUUUUAGGUACUAGUUUAACCCUCAGACUGAAAUUAACAGGCUAUGAUGGCUCCCCUGAGAAAAGACUGCAGGUCACUCCCGGUUGGACCAAAGGGGAGCAUUAACAAAACAAGUCACCAGUCCUUCCCUUCGCUCCUUCCUGGGAGAAACAAAACACUGUCAUCAUAAAGAACAAAUGGGAGAAAAAAAAUCUAUUUUAAUUUCUGAUUUUUGUAAUCAUAUCUAACAUUUUUGGGGGGGGGAAGGGAAAGGGGAGUGUGGGGGGGUAUAGAUGACAUCAUGAUGACUCUGAAGUUUCAUACCUUCUCUGUCUAUUUUUGUGAUUUAUUAACACAUUAGAUAGAUGUACAGUAGCUUGUUAGGGACUCUAAGCCUUGAUGAUAUGUUUGUUUUCAGGAAGGAGAGGAAAAGCCUAAUGACACAAAGCAAUGUAAUAGCACAGUCUCCAACAGCAGAGACCUAACCUGAUCCCAGGUCUGUUUGUGCUGUCUUCCAUGGCUUUGGUGACUGCACAAACGGAUCUGGGACCAGGCUAGCAGAGACCCACGUCUACGUUUACGAAUUCUACAGGUGGCCCCUUGUGGGCUGAGUACAGUAACUGACAGGCAGCAGCAUGUCAUCCACUCUGCCACAGAACAAAACACAGUUCAAACAGCAGCAUUAUCCUCCUAUUUAUGUUUUAACACUCACUCAGUUCUACCUGCACUGUUCACACGCUCAACUGCAGUAUGUGAUCGCUCCUUAACACAGUAUUAAGCUAGGCCUAGACCUGUAUCAUUAUCUCUACAAAACACUCUUCAAUGUCUUGGAAGGGAGUGGUUGCACCUCGAAGCGUAACCAUUCAAACGUUGGGUUCACGAUUUUACGUUUUAACAGUCCUAAUUGCUCUGCUCUUUAAGGUGAUUCACACCCUUCAGCUCUCAAAUUCUUCUCUCAUUCUCAAAACUCUUAAUAUUUACACACUCUACAGUAUUUACUGAGGCUAAGAGUCCCCCUUUUUCCAUGUUAGCUAGUAAAUGCUUGGUAGUGUGUUUUUGUAUUUUAAACGUUUAUGGUUUUAAGUAGAUUUGCUUUUUUAAAGUUUUAGAAUGUUUGUUGCUAGUAUAAAACCAUGUGUAGACAGUUAUGUAUGCUGUGAUGUAGCCUAUAGAAGUAGCUAUAGUAGAAAUGCAUUGUUCCCUUGUGGUAAGUGAGUGAGAUGCUGCCACGGAACUGAGACACUGAUGAUUGGUGCUAUUUUGGACUUUAAUCUGCUCCUUGGAAAGGUAGCUGAGAUGGGUUUUCUUGUUUUACUUUCACAUUCUGAGUAAAGAAGGUGUUGGUUCUUUGUUGUCAUGGUUGUUGUAACUUGGUCUGGAUUGGCUUAGUUUUUCUCUGUUUUCUGUGCGGCUUUCUCAUUGGAUUUAAGAUUUGAGGAAAUAUAAACUUUUAUCAUGGUCAAUGUUUUACUAAAGGAAAAGAGGAUUCAUGUGAGAAGAUUUGAGGAUAUACCAUGUUGAUGGGAGCAAUCACAAAACUGCAAUUGUUAAAAACACUAGUUACCCUUUAAUACUGACACGUGCAUUCAAAGGUAUACAAUGUAUCUAGUAGUACCCAGCACUGGUCACUUUUAGAAAAUGUUAAGCUUUUUUUAGUUGGUGUGUUUUGAUUGACAGACAAUCUCGAAACCAGGAGUGCAGUUCUGCCCCUAGCAUGUUUGUGUGUAACGGAGAUCUCUUAAGAGAUUUUGCACACUUACGAGUGAGUUAUGAAUUUGUCACAUGGAAACAUAUAGAAGUCGCCACAGCAUAACGCAAUGUUAAUGUCUGAUAUCUGCUUCAAGUUGAUUAGAAUAAGUAAACAGUAAAACGUAAAAUGAAGGUUAUUUUUUGAAAAGUCAUGCUUUUCAAAAAUGGCACUUGAGAGAACUUGAUAGAGUUAAAUGCUAAAAGGAAUGAACACACUCCAUGUGUUUUAAGGCCCAGCCUGUUUGGGUUUGGGUUCAGGGUUUCAACUUUUCCUCAUCUUCUUCACCAGCUGGAUAUGACUUAAUCCUAUAGAGAGUCAUGUGACUUAAUGUUAGUUAACGUGAGACUGGAAUCACAUGAUGCAUAUAAUCUUGUUUCAAAAAAAUUUAAAUACAUUUUUCCAAAUGUAGCAUAAAGUUAGAAUAGAACAAUCUUUUUAAUUUAUGUAUUUUUUUAAUGAUUUUGUAAAUUAAUGUUGAUGAGAAGCUUACUUUGUUAUAAAACAGACGAACUAAAACCAAAAAGCUUUUUAUUGUUUGUAGCUAUAGAUUUAAAAUAUCAAAGUAAUGUCAGUAUUUGCAGUUUUGUCUUUGCUUCCCUGUUAAUUUAUUUUGUUAAAGAUUCUAAUAUUAAUAUGAUAAUAACCAACUUGAAAGCCCAUGUUAUUAUUCUUUUGUCUUCCAUUCUCCCUCGAUUCUGGGGACCUUUUUGUACCAGCAUGUUCUAGUGUUAUUGAUCGCUUGUUCUCUUCCUCAUUGAGUUGAUUUGUUACACAUUUUUCCUCUUGCAGUUCUUUCCUUUCAGACUAGUUAAUAUGAAAGCUGUUUUGUACAUAGCAAAGUGAAUAGCAUAUACAGGAUGUGCUGUAGUGUGUUGAGUCAGGUAUUCAGUAAUUACCACUGUAUAUGGUUGGAAAAAAAACACGAUAUGCCAGCUUUGCAAAAUUAUUACAACGAUGCACUUAACUUACAGUAUCCCAUGUACUUUUUUUUGGCAAUUUUAAAAGUUGUGCAAUAAAUAUGCAAGCUUGUAAAUUUGUGUUUUUAUUUGAAUCUGUUGAUGUUGCUGGAGUUUUUCCAGUGUUGUAGGAAACUUGUGCAAUUGUGCUUUGUUCGAGAAAUUGAUCCUGCCGCGUCAUGGAAUACGGAGUUGCAAAAAGUAGUCAUUUU
RNAcentral lists this long non-coding RNA (4942 nucleotides) under Salmo salar (Atlantic salmon). RNAcentral's name for it is "lncRNA (ENSSSAG00000096177.1)". Lineage: Eukaryota; Metazoa; Chordata; Actinopteri; Salmoniformes; Salmonidae. The record is from RNAcentral.